Salvia hispanica is the source of this 332-nucleotide non-coding RNA. Lineage: Eukaryota; Viridiplantae; Streptophyta; Magnoliopsida; Lamiales; Lamiaceae. The record is from RefSeq and is a predicted model, not a curated record.
AGGUGAACCGAGUGCAAGCACCAGCGAUAGGGGAAAAGGGCAGAUCCAUGGUUGAUUAAGCAAAGUUUAGAAGCGAGUGAUCUCGCUCGUGGGUAGCUGCACGUGUCAAGUCACUACCCUCCUUUUUGCUGGUACAGUUGGAGUUCUCACGUGGCAUGCUUAGGCUAACUUUUGAUUGUAUAUAGUUGGUUUGGAAAUGUAAGGUUAUGUAACCUUCUUUUGCUAAUGGGAUUGUAAAUAAUUGUCGAAGCAUGAAUUUUGUUAUGCAUAGUAGUAAAUGGUUGUGCUAACAGGUGUAGUUACUUAUAUAAUAGUGUUGUAUGUUGAGAGUU